UUUGGGCACCGGUUGGCAGGUAAUUACCCAACUCCGUCAGGUCCGGAAGGAAGCAGCGGUAAGUAAGAGUCUGUGCAGCCGACUGCCCUUUUUA
Molecule: signal recognition particle RNA, 94 nt
Filed under: Ignavibacteriaceae bacterium
Lineage: Bacteria; Pseudomonadati; Ignavibacteriota; Ignavibacteria; Ignavibacteriales; Ignavibacteriaceae
Description: signal recognition particle sRNA small type
Rfam family: Bacterial small signal recognition particle RNA
About the family: The signal recognition particle (SRP) is a universally conserved ribonucleoprotein involved in the co-translational targeting of proteins to membranes. Archaeal SRP consists of a 7S RNA and homologues of the eukaryotic SRP19 and SRP54 proteins.
Source: RNAcentral